AUGGGAACGCGAAGAACCUUACCUAGACUUGACAUCUCCUGAAUAGUGUAGAGAUACAUGAAGCCCUUCGGGGCAGGAAGACAGGUGGUGCAUGGUUGUCGUCAGCUCGUGUCGUGAGAUGUUGGGUUAAAGUCCCGCAACGAGCGCAAACCCUUAUUACUAGUUGCUACCAUUAAGUUGAGCACUCUAGUGAGACUGCCCGGGUUAACCGGAGGAAGCGGGAUGACGUCAAAUCAUCAUGCCCCUUACUGUCUAGGGCAACACACGUGCUACAAUGGUGAGUACAGAUAGAUGCGAUACCGCAAGAUGGAGCCAAACUCUAAAACUCAUCCCAGUUCGGAUUGUAGGCUGCAACUCGCCUACAUGAAAGUUGGAGUUGCUGGUAAAUCGCGAAUCAGAAUGUCGCGGUGAA
Molecule: ribosomal RNA, 412 nt
Filed under: uncultured bacterium
Lineage: Bacteria
Description: bacterial SSU rRNA
Rfam family: Bacterial small subunit ribosomal RNA
Source: RNAcentral